RNAcentral lists this ribosomal RNA (935 nucleotides) under Bacillus zhangzhouensis. RNAcentral describes it as "bacterial SSU rRNA". It matches the Rfam family "Bacterial small subunit ribosomal RNA", at positions 53 to 971 of the family's 1533-position model. Lineage: Bacteria; Bacillati; Bacillota; Bacilli; Caryophanales; Bacillaceae. The record is from RNAcentral.
ACUGCAAGUCGAGCGGACAGAAGGGAGCUUGCUCCCGGAUGUUAGCGGCGGACGGGUGAGUAACACGUGGGUAACCUGCCUGUAAGACUGGGAUAACUCCGGGAAACCGGAGCUAAUACCGGAUAGUUCCUUGAACCGCAUGGUUCAAGGAUGAAAGACGGUUUCGGCUGUCACUUACAGAUGGACCCGCGGCGCAUUAGCUAGUUGGUGGGGUAAUGGCUCACCAAGGCGACGAUGCGUAGCCGACCUGAGAGGGUGAUCGGCCACACUGGGACUGAGACACGGCCCAGACUCCUACGGGAGGCAGCAGUAGGGAAUCUUCCGCAAUGGACGAAAGUCUGACGGAGCAACGCCGCGUGAGUGAUGAAGGUUUUCGGAUCGUAAAGCUCUGUUGUUAGGGAAGAACAAGUGCGAGAGUAACUGCUCGCACCUUGACGGUACCUAACCAGAAAGCCACGGCUAACUACGUGCCAGCAGCCGCGGUAAUACGUAGGUGGCAAGCGUUGUCCGGAAUUAUUGGGCGUAAAGGGCUCGCAGGCGGUUUCUUAAGUCUGAUGUGAAAGCCCCCGGCUCAACCGGGGAGGGUCAUUGGAAACUGGGAAACUUGAGUGCAGAAGAGGAGAGUGGAAUUCCACGUGUAGCGGUGAAAUGCGUAGAGAUGUGGAGGAACACCAGUGGCGAAGGCGACUCUCUGGUCUGUAACUGACGCUGAGGAGCGAAAGCGUGGGGAGCGAACAGGAUUAGAUACCCUGGUAGUCCACGCCGUAAACGAUGAGUGCUAAGUGUUAGGGGGGUUCCGCCCCUUAGUGCUGCAGCUAACGCAUUAAGCACUCCGCCUGGGGAGUAAGGUCGCAAGACUGAAACUCAAUGGAGUUGACGGGGGCGCGCGCAACCGGUGGAGCAUGANGGUGAAUUCUAAUCAUCGUNCAAAAGCU